GGGAUUAGAUACCCCACUAUGCCAUGGUGUAAACCACGACCUCAUUGUCCGCCAGAAAAUUACGGGCACCACCCAAUUCAGCCUAAAACUCAAAAGACUUGACGGUGUCCCAAUCUACCUAGAGGAGCCUGUUCCAUAAUCGAUAACCCCCGAUCAACCCGACCACCUCUUGUUCCUAUCCAGCCUAUAUACCGCCGUCACCAGCUUACCUUUUAAGAGUAUUAUCGUAAGCACAAAAGUAUUUACUAAAAAGUCAGGUCAAGGUGUAGCUAAUGAGGUGGAGCUAAUGGGCUACAUUAUCUGACCCAGAUAACCUACGACUUAGUCUUUGAAACACGACUAUAAAGGAGGAUUUAGCAGUAAAGCCGGUUAAGCACACCCACUUUAACCCUGCUCUGGGACAUGUACACACCGCCCGUCACCC
RNAcentral lists this ribosomal RNA (424 nucleotides) under Leposoma nanodactylus. RNAcentral describes it as "partial 12S ribosomal RNA". It matches the Rfam family "Bacterial small subunit ribosomal RNA", at positions 774 to 1402 of the family's 1533-position model. Lineage: Eukaryota; Metazoa; Chordata; Lepidosauria; Squamata; Gymnophthalmidae. The record is from RNAcentral.